AAUAAAAUGGCUGAAGCAUAGGCGAUAAAUUGUAAAUUUAUUUAUGAGAAAUAAAUCUCUUUUAUUA
RNAcentral lists this transfer RNA (67 nucleotides) under Losaria neptunus. RNAcentral's name for it is "tRNA-Tyr". The record is from RNAcentral. Lineage: Eukaryota; Metazoa; Arthropoda; Insecta; Lepidoptera; Papilionidae.